UCACACCAUGCAGUAGUUGGUGAAUAUUAACAUGUUUUCCUCCUUGCAGGGCCCUGCAUCUAAUCCUGAAGCAAACUGUGGUUACUUCAAAUGGGCUACUUCAAAGUCUAGGAAUAAAUAACGGUGGUGAAUUCACAUUUUAAUAAAAGGAUUGUGUUCAUUUGCCCACUCCAUCCAAGUUCCCUUGUAUAGUGACAAUAUGGAGCUGACAUCCCAUCCCAGUUUUGCAUGAUAAUGGAGGAGCUGCAUUUCAAUCUUUUCGACACAUCCUCAUAGCUUCUUGCAGCUGUUGUG
This 294-nucleotide long non-coding RNA is filed under the name Lotus japonicus. RNAcentral's name for it is "long non-coding RNA (LJAP_LNC001995)". Lineage: Eukaryota; Viridiplantae; Streptophyta; Magnoliopsida; Fabales; Fabaceae. The record is from RNAcentral.